Molecule: ribosomal RNA, 343 nt
Filed under: uncultured Streptococcus sp.
Lineage: Bacteria; Bacillati; Bacillota; Bacilli; Lactobacillales; Streptococcaceae
Description: bacterial SSU rRNA
Rfam family: Bacterial small subunit ribosomal RNA
Source: RNAcentral
UGGUGUCGAUGGUUGUCGUCAGCUCGUGUCGUGAGAUGUUGGUUAAGUCCGCGACGAGCGCAACCCCUACUUGUUAGUUGCCAUCAUUCAGUUGGGCACUCUAGCGAGACUGCCGGUAAUAAACCGGAGGAAGGUGGGGAUGACGUCAAAUCAUCAUGCCCCUUAUGACCUGGGCUACACACGUGCUACAAUGGUUGGUACAACGAGUUGCGAGUCGGUGACGGCGAGCUAAUCUCUUAAAGCCAAUCUCAGUUCGGAUUGUAGGCUGCAACUCGCCUACAUGAAGUCGGAAUCGCUAGUAAUCGCGGAUCAGCACGCCGCGGUGAAUACGUUCCCGGGCCUU